AAUAUAAUGGUCGCUAUUGGUACACAACAUUGAUUAUUAUAAUGAACAAGGUUUUUUUUGUGUUUUUUUCCUUUAAUAUUAUCACAAAAGUUGUAACCCCACACACUUUAAUUUAUAACAAUAUAUAGAUUUUCAAAUUUGUUCAUUUAAACAUGUUAUAUAUUUUUAUAUUUGUUUUUAUCAAUAUAAUAUCAAUUUGACAAAAUAGCAUAAUGAUAUAUAUAAAUUAGUCAAGUUUGAUAAGACUUUUAUAAUUGAGGAUACUAAAAAAUAGGUCAUCCUUUUAUUUGAAAUAAGUUGAACUCU
This 306-nucleotide long non-coding RNA is filed under the name Olea europaea (common olive). RNAcentral's name for it is "long non-coding RNA (OEUR_LNC007729)". The record is from RNAcentral. Lineage: Eukaryota; Viridiplantae; Streptophyta; Magnoliopsida; Lamiales; Oleaceae.